CCUACGGGAUGCAGCAGUGGGGAAUAUUGCGCAAUGGGCGAAAGCCUGACGCAGCGACGCCGCGUGAGGGAUGAAGGUCUUCGGAUCGUAAACCUCUGUCAGCAGGGAAGAACGGUCACUGUGCUAAUCAGCAGUGCAUUGACGGUACCUGCAAAGGAAGCACCGGCUAACUCCGUGCCAGCAGCCGCGGUAAUACGGAGGGUGCGAGCGUUAAUCGGAAUUACUGGGCGUAAAGCGCUCGUAGGCGGUAGGUCAAGUCAAGGGUGAAAUCCCCGCGCUUAACGGGGGAACUGCAUUUGAAACUGGCAAACUGGAGUGUGUGAGAGGAUAGUGGAAUUCCAGGUGUAGGAGUGAAAUCCGUAGAUAUCGGGAGGAACAACAGUGGCGAAGGCGACUAUCUGGCACAUAACUGACGCUGAGGAGCGAAAGCGUGGGUAGCAAACAGGAUUAGAUACCCUUGUAGUC
This 465-nucleotide ribosomal RNA is filed under the name uncultured bacterium. Its description in RNAcentral is "partial 16S ribosomal RNA". It matches the Rfam family "Bacterial small subunit ribosomal RNA", at positions 338 to 795 of the family's 1533-position model. The record is from RNAcentral.